Molecule: long non-coding RNA, 1090 nt
Organism: Cataglyphis hispanica
Lineage: Eukaryota; Metazoa; Arthropoda; Insecta; Hymenoptera; Formicidae
Exons: 2
Source: RefSeq, a predicted model, not a curated record
GAAGAUGUGUGUGGAAAUUCUUCAUCAAAAAACGACGUGAAGUCAUUACUGGCCGAAGCGGUUUUUCUGAGCGGUAGGGCGGUAGGCUGACGUAUAUAAAACAGGAGUAAACAUCCAGCAUCUCUUCAUUGCAGUAGUAUACUUGUUCGCGAUUAGGCAGAAAGAAACCGAUUUUGCAUCGAGACUCAUUUUGACACAAUUAUUAAUUCGCAAAAUUGUAUUGUUUCAUCAUUUUUUUAAUCGUGCACAAUGGAAGAAAGAAUACGUAUUACAAUCUACUAUUGAGAACAUAUUGAAGUGUCUAAGAAAAAUGUCACAUCGUGUGCUGUGGCUCAGAAAGUGUGAAAUUUGAAAGUCAUAGUAAAAGAAAACGCGUCGAAUCAGUGACACAACGCAUCUCAUUAUAUGGUCUUUCGAUCAUUACGGGAAGAUUAUUAAACAAUCAAAAUUUCCAGGAGAUGUAAUUAAAAUGAAGCUAAUCUUUCUACUGUUGUUAUUGGUCAGUUCCUCUUUUUGCAUACCUUGGCUUAACUUAUGGUUUCCCCGACAAUCUUCAUAUGAUAAUCGAAAUAUCGGAUCUGCGAACGAACAAGAUGGUCCUUAUCGGCAAUAUCGUCAAGGCAGAGGCGGUAAAGAACGUUGGAAGCAGAUCUGCAGAACGAUAAAUCCCGAUUCGUAUGCAUUCCCAGGACGCGUACCUUAUCCUGCCGCACCUGUAUGUCCCUGGUAAAAGAAACUUCCGGUCAACCCUCAUAUCUGUGCCAAACGCAAACAAGAACUCGUAUCAUGCGUUAAAAAUAUGAAUUUAUUGUAACAAUCUAUAGCUUCAGACAUUAUACAUCCACUGAUUAUGAGUAUUUCAGUCGGUAUGUUUAUGUGUGUGUCCAUAUGUGUGAUAAUAUUAGCAAAGGAAUAUACAUAAAUAUUCGCGCGAUAACACAUAGCUAUUUACUGUAACGCGUGUAAAUGAAGCAAGAAAUAAUUGUUUACCUGUCGCACACGACAAGCCUUUUGUACACGAAUUUUAUUAUUGUUUUAGUCUCGUUUUUUGGUCCGUGCCUUGUGUCGGAUUUAAAAAAAAGUAAACAAA